RNAcentral lists this long non-coding RNA (241 nucleotides) under Sorghum bicolor (sorghum). RNAcentral's name for it is "long non-coding RNA (SBIC_LNC010449)". The record is from RNAcentral. Lineage: Eukaryota; Viridiplantae; Streptophyta; Magnoliopsida; Poales; Poaceae.
GCAAAUUCAGUGCUUGUUUCCUCGUUCUUGCUAGUUCUUCGAUUGCUUGUAGGACGGGAGCCCUAGGGGCUGGUUGUCGCGCUCCACAAGAUCGUGACGGCUGUUGGACGUGGUGUAUCGGUUGCUAAGGCGCGGUCUUGAGGGCUGUAGUCGGGCCGUGAACGUCAUCUCCAUCCACUAAUCGAGUUAUCCAGCGCCUCUCAUCGAAAGAUCAGGCCAAAAACCCUAGCGGGUUCGCAUC